GAUGAACGCUGGCGGCGUGCCUAAUACAUGCAAGUCGAGCGAACAGACGAGGAGCUUGCUCCUCUGACGUUAGCGGCGGACGGGUGAGUAACACGUGGAUAACCUACCUAUAAGACUGGGAUAACUUCGGGAAACCGGAGCUAAUACCGGAUAAUAUAUUGAACCGCAUGGUUUAAUAGUGAAAGACGGUUUUGCUGUCACUUAUAGAUGGAUCCGCGCCGCAUUAGCUAGUUGGUAAGGUAACGGCUUACCAAGGCAACGAUGCGUAGCCGACCUGAGAGGGUGAUCGGCCACACUGGAACUGAGACCCGGUCCAGACUCCUACGGGAGGCAGCAGUAGGGAAUCUUCCGAGAUGGGCGAAAGCUUGACGGAGCAACGCCGCGUGAGUGAUGAAGGUCUUCGGAUCGUAAAACUCUGUUAUUAGGGAAGAACAAAUGUGUAAGUAACUAUGCACGUCUUGACGGUACCUAAUCAGAAAGCCACGGCUAACUACG
This 495-nucleotide ribosomal RNA is filed under the name uncultured bacterium. RNAcentral describes it as "partial 16S ribosomal RNA". It matches the Rfam family "Bacterial small subunit ribosomal RNA", at positions 28 to 505 of the family's 1533-position model. The record is from RNAcentral.